RNAcentral lists this ribosomal RNA (831 nucleotides) under uncultured Bacteroidota bacterium. RNAcentral describes it as "bacterial SSU rRNA". It matches the Rfam family "Bacterial small subunit ribosomal RNA", at positions 60 to 893 of the family's 1533-position model. The record is from RNAcentral. Lineage: Bacteria; Pseudomonadati; Bacteroidota.
AGUCGAGGGGUAUAUAGUGCUUGCACUAUAGAGACCGGCGCACGGGUGCGUAACGCGUAUGCAAUCUACCUUAUACAGGGGAAUAGCCCAGGGAAACUUGGAUUAAUGCCCCAUAGUAUCAUUAAGUAGCAUUACUUGAUGAUUAAAGAUUUAUCGGUAUAAGAUGAGCAUGCGUCCCAUUAGUUAGUUGGUAAGGUAACGGCUUACCAAGACAGCGAUGGGUAGGGGCCCUGAGAGGGGGAUCCCCCACACUGGUACUGAGACACGGACCAGACUCCUACGGGAGGCAGCAGUGAGGAAUAUUGGACAAUGGGCGCAAGCCUGAUCCAGCCAUGCCGCGUGCAGGAUGACGGCCCUAUGGGUUGUAAACUGCUUUUGUACGGGAAGAAACACCUCCACGUGUGGAGGUUUGACGGUACCGUAAGAAUAAGCAUCGGCUAACUCCGUGCCAGCAGCCGCGGUAAUACGGAGGAUGCAAGCGUUAUCCGGAAUCAUUGGGUUUAAAGGGUCCGUAGGCGGACAAUUAAGUCAGGGGUGAAAUUCUGCGGCUCAACCGUAGAACUGCCCUUGAUACUGGUUGUCUUGAAUCGUUGUGAAGUGGUUAGAAUGAGUAGUGUAGCGGUGAAAUGCUUAGAGAUUACUCAGAAUACCGAUUGCGAAGGCAGAUCACUAACAACGUAUUGACGCUGAGGGACGAAAGCGUGGGGAGCGAACAGGAUUAGAUACCCUGGUAGUCCACGCCGUANACGAUGGAUACUAGCUGUCCGGUCUUCGGACUGGGUGGCCAAGCGAAAGUGAUAAGUAUCCCACCUGGGGAGUACGUUCGCAAGA